Molecule: ribosomal RNA, 465 nt
Filed under: uncultured bacterium
Lineage: Bacteria
Description: partial 16S ribosomal RNA
Rfam family: Bacterial small subunit ribosomal RNA
Source: RNAcentral
GACGAACGCUGGCGGCGUGCUUAACACAUGCAAGUCGAACGGAAAGGCCCUGCUUGCAGGGUACUCGAGUGGCGAACGGGUGAGUAACACGUGGGUGAUCUGCCCUGCACUUCGGGAUAAGCCUGGGAAACUGGGUCUAAUACCGGAUAGGAGCCAUUUUUAGUGUGAUGGUUGGAAAGUUUUUUCGGUGUAGGAUGAGCUCGCGGCCUAUCAGCUUGUUGGUGGGGUAAUGGCCUACCAAGGCGGCGACGGGUAGCCGGCCUGAGGGGGUGGACGGCCACAUUGGGACUGAGAUACGGCCCAGACUCCUACGGGAGGCAUCAGUGGGGAAUAUUGCACAAUGGGCGCAAGCCUGAUGCAGCGACGCCGCGUGGGGGAUGACGGCCUUCGGGUUGUAAACUCCUUUCGCUAGGGACGAAGCUUUUUGUGACGGUACCUAGAUAAGAAGCACCGGCUAACUACGUG